Molecule: non-coding RNA, 172 nt
Organism: Pseudomonas sp. MF4836
Lineage: Bacteria; Pseudomonadati; Pseudomonadota; Gammaproteobacteria; Pseudomonadales; Pseudomonadaceae
Source: Rfam
AAACGUUCUCAGGGCGGGGUGUAACUCCCCACCGGCGGUAAUUGCGCGCAAUGCGCAUAGCCCGCGAGCGCUUGGCGACACUCACGGCUUUUACGGUGAGUGGCGGCAAGGUCAGCAGACCCGGUGUGAUCCCGGGGCCGACGGUCAUAGUCCGGAUGAAGAGAGAACGGGA